CACGUAGGCGGAUUAUUAAGUGAGGGGUGAAAUCCCAGGGCUCAACCCUGGAACUGCCUCUCAUACUGGUAGUCUUGAGUUCGAGAGAGGUGAGUGGAAUUCCGAGUGUAGAGGUGAAAUUCGUAGAUAUUCGGAGGAACACCAGUGGCGAAGGCGGCUCACUGGCUCGAUACUGACGCUGAGGUGCGAAAGUGUGGGGAGCAAACAGGAUUAGAUACCCUGGUAGUCC
This 229-nucleotide ribosomal RNA is filed under the name uncultured bacterium. RNAcentral describes it as "partial 16S ribosomal RNA". It matches the Rfam family "Bacterial small subunit ribosomal RNA", at positions 568 to 796 of the family's 1533-position model. The record is from RNAcentral.